GAUGAACGCUGGCGGCGUGCCUAAUACAUGCAAGUCGAGCGAACGGACGAGAAGCUUGCUUCUCUGAUGUUAGCGGCGGACGGGUGAGUAACACGUGGAUAACCUACCUAUAAGACUGGGAUAACUUCGGGAAACCGUAGCUAAUACCGGAUACUAUUUUGAACCGCAUGGUUCAAAAGUGAAAGACGAUCUUGCUGUCACUUAUAGAUGGAUCCGCGCUGCAUUAGCUAGUUGGUAAGGUAACGGUAUACCAAGGCAACGAUGCAUAGCCGACGUGAGAGGGUGAGCGGCCACACUGGAACUGAGACACGGUCCAGACUCCUACGGGAGGCAGCAGUAGGGAAUCGUCCGCAAUGGGCGAAAGCCUGACGGAGCAACGCCGCGUGAGUGAUGAAGGUCUUCGGAUCGUAAAACUCUGUUAUUAGGGAAGAACAUAUGUGUAAGUAACUGUGCACAUCUUGACGGUACCUAAUCAGAAAGCCACGGCUAACUACGUG
Molecule: ribosomal RNA, 497 nt
Filed under: uncultured bacterium
Lineage: Bacteria
Description: partial 16S ribosomal RNA
Rfam family: Bacterial small subunit ribosomal RNA
Source: RNAcentral